Long non-coding RNA from Seriola aureovittata, 1578 nucleotides. RefSeq lists it as uncharacterized. The record is from RefSeq and is a predicted model, not a curated record. The transcript is spliced from 3 exons. Lineage: Eukaryota; Metazoa; Chordata; Actinopteri; Carangiformes; Carangidae.
UCCCUUUAACCUGAAUAAACACCUGACCCUGAUUCAAAUCUGCUGCGUUUCCUCUUUAUCACCUGGAGAAUUUCUCAUCUGUAAAAAGUUAAAAUGUUUAAACUUUUGACUCCUCCCCCAUCACUCUGUCAGCCAAUCGCAUGUCGCCUGUAAUUCCACAAAACCUGGAGCUAAAUUAAGGAGUAUCGCAGUUUAUUCAUUUUUAUUCAUUUCUGGAUCUGGAGCUUGUUUCCUUCGUGUUUGUGCUUUUUCAGAGUGUAAGUGACUCUGUUUAAAGCUCAGACACCUGGACAAACUGUCGGACUGAACCUUUAGUUUCCCUCCUCACACUCUGAGCUGACGACAGGAAACAGAGCAAAGGUCAGGAGCUGCAGCUCUGCUCCAACCAGACCCCACGGAAAAACAUGAGGUUUAAACAGCUGAGACAAAGAGGAGCUGCAGGUGAACAAUUCCUGCAGGUCCUGCUGUCAGCCGGUCUGGGUUCCCUCAGACCAGAUCCUGUGAAAAACCAGGAGGGUGGAGUUUAGAAGUUUUCACACCAGCCAAUCAGAGAGGAGAUGUGGGCCUCACACGCUGGUCGUACAACCUGACUGUUAACCCCGUGAGGCCCAGACAGAGUCUCACUCCUCAGUCUAAAGAUGGGGGUGUGAAAGCACACCAUGGGUAAGAGGCCGACCCCACAGCAGACAAAGGACGUGAAACACAUCCCGGGGGGGGGGGGGCCCCCCCCCUUUUCCCUCAAGUAUAAAUGUUCAAGGUUCCCCAUGCUCAGGGUCUUUCUUCAUUUUGAACCGCUCGCAUGUUGAUUGACCUUUUCUUUGCAAAGAAAAUAAAACCUUGUCGGCCAACGGAAGUCUCUAUUUCAUUCUUCACCAAGAGCAGAAAAUUUCCACGACACUACUAUUCCUUUAUUCUUUGUUUAUAUGCUAAUAAUCAAUAUUAUAAUUAUUAUAAAUUUUUAAUAUUUAGAUAGUACUUGUAUAUGGGGGGGUGGAGGGUGGUACUGACAGAUGAUGAAGGAUGUAGAGUUGUUGAUUUUUUCCUGUUUGUUUCAGUUUUAUGUUUAAUAGGAAAACAGGAAAAUGCAGAACAGACGUGUGAAUAUCAUGUUUAUGUUAAAGAAUCCACGUCUAAUAUUACAGGUGUGUGAAACAGCUGAUGCUCUGCUGUUGUGAUUGGUUUAACCUCCAGAAGUCGAGUUAAAAUAAGAAUAAAAAAACUGAAUGAGGGUGUCAUCAGCCUCAUGAAAAAUUCAAUAAUAUUAAUAAACUAUGAUAAUAAUUUCUUUAUAUUAUUAAUAUCAUAAUUAACAGAUCUAAUAAGAGAAUAAUGUGACAGAGGAAUCAGACUCAGCGGAUCGUCUGUCUCAGAAGUCAUGCUUUUACUGUGGAAAAUGAGCUUUUCAAACUAAAACACGUUUUGUUUCCUCGUUACACUUUCUGCAUCAAGCUGGUCUCAGGUCAGUGAUUUACUUUAUCAUCAUGUGAUUUAUAUCAUCAUAUCAUUUCAAAUUAAAGAAUCUGUCGUCACAUUAAAUUCACGUCUAAUUAUUUUAAUUAAAGCAUCAAGUAUCUGAAU